Molecule: long non-coding RNA, 515 nt
Filed under: Bemisia tabaci
Lineage: Eukaryota; Metazoa; Arthropoda; Insecta; Hemiptera; Aleyrodidae
Description: lncRNA ENSSSA2NGG014368
Source: RNAcentral
AUCGAAUAUAACUUAGUUAAAGCGUGCGUUUCGUGCUGAAUUGCAUCGCUCUCCGGCCGAAAGUGAAGAAAGUAAUUCAAGUGCGGCCCCUAGAUAUUCCUCUUAUCUAAGCCUUUGUUGUUCAAGUACGAACGGAGUUGCGAGACUCGACGCAGCUUUCGGUUUUGAGGUUGUCUUCUCUCUCUUUCCUGUCGGUUUCUCAAAGUCAUUUUGUUUUAUUGAGAGUGCACAGUUGUGGAUACAAGGUGUGACGUCGUAAUUGGUCGGAGUAAGGAGGUUGCGCACAGGCGGGUGACUUGCUCUGAGGAAAUCCAGAAUAGAUUCAUAAUGGGCGGAUGAUAACUUCAGAAAUAAGAGGUAUUGGUCUCGCCACGCGCGCUCUCUACUCUAUUUUGCUGUCAUGUUUGAUUGUCAGUAUGCAACGCCAUCUCAUAUUAUGGGCAAGGAUGGGAUUGCAGAAUGAUUAACAUGAAAGGGUCUGAGCAGUAGCUUGGGUGUGACUUGGUUCCUUCCAG